AUCGUGGCGGGAGACAGUGUCAGGUAGGCAGUUUGACUGGGGCGGUCGCCUCCUAAAAUGUAACGGAGGCGCCCAAAGGUUCCCUCAGAAUGGUUGGAAAUCAUUCGCAGAGUGUAAAGGUAGAAGGGAGCUUGACUGCGAGACUGACAAGUCGAGCAGGGACGAAAGUCGGGCUUAGUGAUCCGGUGGUUCCGUAUGGAAGGGCCAUCGCUCAACGGAUAAAAGCUACCCUGGGGAUAACAGGCUUAUCUCCCCCAAGAGUCCACAUCGACGGGGAGGUUUGGCACCUCGAUGUCGGCUCAUCGCAUCCUGGGGCUGUAGUCGGUCCCAAGGGUUGGGCUGUUCGCCCAUUAAAGCGGUACGCGAGCUGGGUUCAGAACGUCGUGAGACAGUUCGGUCCCUAUCCGUCGCGGGCGCAGGAAAUUUGAGAGGAGCUGUCCUUAGUACGAGAGGACCGGGAUGGACGUUCCGCUGGUGUACCAGUUGUGCCGC
Molecule: ribosomal RNA, 492 nt
Filed under: Lacticaseibacillus rhamnosus
Lineage: Bacteria; Bacillati; Bacillota; Bacilli; Lactobacillales; Lactobacillaceae
Description: partial 23S ribosomal RNA
Rfam family: Bacterial large subunit ribosomal RNA
Source: RNAcentral